Molecule: RNA transcript, 886 nt
Organism: Carlito syrichta (Philippine tarsier)
Lineage: Eukaryota; Metazoa; Chordata; Mammalia; Primates; Tarsiidae
Gene name: 40S ribosomal protein S9 pseudogene
Exons: 3
Source: RefSeq, a predicted model, not a curated record
AUGAACUCUGGGGGACCUGGAAUCCUGGCGGGAAAUAUUAGACAUGACAGCCAAUGCUUUUCGAACGCCAUGUGGAAACAUAGUUCUCCAACAGUACCUAUCCAUCCGACUGGAUCCAGAUUUCCUCCCAAACUUAAAGCACGUCACCCUACAAAGGAGAGGCUUGAUGAUGAUAAGCAAAUAAAGGACAUCAGGCUUUCAAGCUUUCAAGCUUUCUGUGUGGGUGAGGAGUUGACUUCCUUCUCCCCAAACACACACACCCUCGCACGCAGGCCCACUCGCAGCCUCUUCAACCUGCCAGCCGCUCUUCUUACCGAGGGAGAGACAGAUAGAGAAUCGCUUUUAAGAAAAUUCAGCUCGAGGGUCAAGUUUACGCUGGCCAAAAUCCGCAAGGCCGCCCGGGAGCUGCUGACGCUAGACGGAAAGGACCCGCGGCGUCUGUUUGAAGGCAAUGCCCUGCGGCGGCGACUUGCCCGCAUUGGGGUGCGGGAUGAGGGCAAGAUGAAGCUGGAUAGCAUCCUGGGCCCGAAGAUCGAGGAUUUCUUGGAGAGGCGCCUGCAGACCCAGGUCUUCAAGCUGGGCCUGGCCAAGUCCAUUCAUCAUGCUCGUGUGCUGAUCCGCCAGCGCCGUAUCAGGGGCCGCAAGCAGGUUGUGGACAUCCCGUCCUGCACCGUCCACCUGGAUUCCCAGAAGCACGUUGACUUCUCCCUCCGCUCUCCAGACGGGGGUGGCCGCCCAGGCCGCGUGAAGAGGAAAAAUGCCAAGAAGGGCCAGGGUGGGGCGGGAGCUGGAGAGGGCGAGGAGGAGGAUUAAGCCCAUCCAGGUGCCCUUCCUGGGCUGGUGAAUGGUCUAGAUUUACAGUCAGAUAAUAAAAGAUCAACGCUUA